RNAcentral lists this long non-coding RNA (623 nucleotides) under Phoenix dactylifera (date palm). RNAcentral's name for it is "long non-coding RNA (PDAC_LNC012021)". Lineage: Eukaryota; Viridiplantae; Streptophyta; Magnoliopsida; Arecales; Arecaceae. The record is from RNAcentral.
CCAAGGGCUCCAAUGCAUGGCGCCAUUCACUUGACCCAUUAUGUCUUCAUCCAAUGGUGGGAUUAAGAUCCAAUGGUCAAUUAUGGUAGCCAUCCUCUCCAUUAUGUCUUCAUCCAACGGUAGAUCAAGAUCUAACGGUCUAGAUUGAAUGAUUUAUUAAAUCUAAUCCAAUUAGAUUCAAACCAAGCUAAUUAGGUGCCAACUCUUGGCUAAUCCAUAUUAGAACAUGAUCUAAUCAAAUUAGAUCAAUUAAGAAUCGGAUUCGAAUCCAAUUCGAAUCAAGAGCUAAGGAUUUGCAACACCUGCUAGGAUGUCUAUCUUGCAAACAUGAUCUAAUCCAAUUAGACCCUUAAUAAGUUUUCUUGUGUGUGACCCAUUGGGUUUCAUACUUAGCCAGCAAUAGGUGUGAGUGCGAGUUGACCCAACUUGAUUAGAACUCUUCUAAUCGAUUUAAGUCCAAACUGCGCGAACCUGAACUUAACAAUUAGAAUUCUUUUUAAUUGGUGAUCGAAUUAAACUAUUUAAUUCGAUCAAACCUAUAAGACAAGAUUGACGUCUAGUAACGUGUCAUGUCUACCCAGAAAAUAUGGAAUUUGGUGGAAAUACCAAAAAUACUCUUCANN